ACCUGUGGCAGCAGAUAAAGAAUCUCUGCUCUCUGAUUUCAGAAGCUAAACAAGGUCAGGCCUGGUUAGUACUUGGAUGGGAGACCACCUGGGAAGACCAGGUGUUAUAGGUG
Molecule: ribosomal RNA, 113 nt
Filed under: Pteropus alecto (black flying fox)
Lineage: Eukaryota; Metazoa; Chordata; Mammalia; Chiroptera; Pteropodidae
Source: RNAcentral